AAAAAUAAACCCACCCCGCGGGGCUCGGGGCGCUCAGGGCUCGCUCUCCCCGCGCAGACUUCGCGGUGCACCAGGUGCUGCCCUUCCAGGCGGUGUCGGCAGAGCCCUACACUUACGCCAGCGAUCUGUACGUGGCGCUGGCGCAGCCCGGAGCCGGCAGCUGCGCCGUCCUCAAAUGGGAUUACGUGGAGCGGCGGCUGAGGGAUUUCGACCGCAUCCCCGCCCCUUCGGCCGUGCACUGCAAACCCAUCGUGGCUCAGGAGCAGCUCUACGUGGUGGUGGCCCAACUCUUUGGCGGCUCCUCCAUCCACCGCUGGGACACGGCGGUGGACAAAUUCAUCAAGCUGCAGGACAUCGACCCGCAGAAAACCCGCAAACCCAACGACGUCGAGGCCUUCCAGAUCGACGGCGAGUGGUACUUCGUCAUCGCCGACAGCUCCAAGGCCGGCUCCACCAGCCUCUACCGCCUCGACCAGAACGGCUUCUACUCGCACCAGGCUCUGCACGCCUGGCACCGCGACACCGACGCGGAGUUCGUGGAGCACGACGGCAAAGCGCGCCUCAUCGUGGCCAGCAGCUCCCAGGCGCCCGUGGUCUACCAGUGGCAGAGGGCGCAGAAGCAGUUCGCCCCGCAGGGGGAGGUGGGCGAGACGGCGGACGUGCAGAUGGUGAAGCACUUCAGGGCCGGCCGGGAGCAUUUCCUCUGCCUCAGCCGCUACAUCGGCGACUCCAAGGUGGUGCGCUGGGAAGGGCAGCAGCGCUUCGUGGAGCUGCAGGCGCUGCCGUCGCGCGGCUCCAUGGUGAUGCAGCCCUUCUCCGUGGGGCGGCGGCUGUACAUGGCGCUGGGCAGCGACUUCUCCUUCAGCCACGUGUACCUGUGGGACGAGGACGAGCAGCGCUUCUCCAAGUUCCAGGAGCUGGCGGUGCAGGCGCCCAGGGCGUUCCGUUACGUCCCCGCAGCCGACGUGCAGCUGCUGCUGGCGCCCAGCUUCAAGGCCAACAGCGUGGUGUACCGGCACGUGGUGGUGGACCUCAGCCUGUAGCCGGCGGGGGGGGCACGCAUGCACCCGCACCCCGCACCUCCCCACUCCCCCCUCCUUUCCCAGCCCCGGCAGCUGCUGCUGGCGCCCAGCUUCAAGGCCAACAGCGUGGUGUACCGGCACGUGGUGGUGGACCUCAGCCUGUAGCCGGCGGGGGGGGCACGCAUGCACCCGCACCCCGCACCUCCCCACUCCCCCCUCCUUUCCAGCCCCGAAAGGCACCGGCCUCGGUUUCAGCAUCCCUGCUUUCCUACGGCUGGC
RNAcentral lists this long non-coding RNA (1301 nucleotides) under Chrysolophus pictus (golden pheasant). Its description in RNAcentral is "lncRNA (ENSCPIG00010005682.1)". The record is from RNAcentral. Lineage: Eukaryota; Metazoa; Chordata; Aves; Galliformes; Phasianidae.